Molecule: long non-coding RNA, 715 nt
Organism: Camelina sativa (false flax)
Lineage: Eukaryota; Viridiplantae; Streptophyta; Magnoliopsida; Brassicales; Brassicaceae
Source: RefSeq, a predicted model, not a curated record
UCAUCUUCUUUCCCAAAACACAAUCUCGGUUUUCUUCGAUUUCCAAACCCUCGACUUUUCAAAAUAUAUUUGACACAAACCUUUGCUGUUCUCAAGUCUGACAACUAUUCUAUUUAUGGAACAUGUUGAGAUGAAUUUUAUCUGUUACAAUUGUUUUCGGAGAAGCCCAAAUUUGGAAAUUCGAAGAUCAUUCAGAUGUAGUAGUCAAUCGAUAUCUUGAUCGGCGGAUUCAGUAUUGGGUUUUGGUUUAUUGGCCCGAUCCUUGUCAAUACAAUUAAUCUGUGUAUACAAAAUUGCGAUAAUCGAGAUGAAGAACAUAUACCAAAUAACCGUAAUGAUAUCACAUAUCAUGUAUUUCAGUGGAGCCAUUUAACAUUACAUAGAUCUAAAGUGUUUGGAAGAGACUACUUAUUGUGAUUCGCGCGGAAGUUUGGUAAGGUAUGAUAAUGAUAAAGGUAAGAUUGUGAUCGAGGGCGGUUAGGAGAAGUUGGAUGAUGUUCGAAUUGGAAAUAAUCGAAAGAAUGCUUUUAAUAGCCGGAUGAUCCAACUAUUACUUUACGGUUUUUUCUCGCCCGUAUCCGUUUACUUGAUUUCGGGUUAUUUUUUCAAAUUGAUCCGACCCAUAAUCGAUUUUGUACUUCUCUUUUACUUAUAUAGGGAUAAAAUCAAAGAUGUAUUUUGCCGUUUGUCACAUUACUUAAUUAAUACAAUUUUU